Ixodes scapularis (black-legged tick) is the source of this 302-nucleotide long non-coding RNA. RefSeq lists it as uncharacterized. The transcript is spliced from 3 exons. The record is from RefSeq and is a predicted model, not a curated record. Lineage: Eukaryota; Metazoa; Arthropoda; Arachnida; Ixodida; Ixodidae.
GGCAUGAAGCCACCGGAAGCGAGCAGCCUUGUCCCGGAAACGCCAGCAUGCCAGCAUGCUCUGCGGUAAACUGCACGAGUAGGCCGGAGAAGACCUCAGGCAAGACGUUUCACCUGUUUCCGCGCUGUCAGCCGAAACUGUACCAGCAAUGGGUCGUAAACUUAAAAAGGGACAAGUGGAAACCAUCUCCCGGCAGCAGACUUUGCAGCGACCACUUCGAUGAUUCGUGCUUCGACCGAACAGGAGCCAGAACCCGGCUGCGAAGCGGCGCAGUCCCGACGCUCUUCAACUUCCCAGAACAC